AUACGGAGGGUGCAAGCGUUGUUCGGAAUUACUGGGCGUAAAGCGCGCGUAGGUGGUCUGUUAUGUCAGAUGUGAAAGUCCACGGCUCAACCGUGGAAGUGCAUUUGAAACUGGCAGACUUGAGUACUGGAGGGGGUAGUGGAAUUCCCGGUGUAGAGGUGAAAUUCGUAGAUAUCGGGAGGAAUACCGGUGGCGAAGGCGACUACCUGGCCAGAUACUGACGCUGAGGUGCGAAAGCGUGGGGAGCGAACAGGAUUAGAAACCCCGGUAGUCC
RNAcentral lists this ribosomal RNA (274 nucleotides) under uncultured bacterium. RNAcentral's name for it is "partial 16S ribosomal RNA". It matches the Rfam family "Bacterial small subunit ribosomal RNA", at positions 523 to 796 of the family's 1533-position model. The record is from RNAcentral.